AUGUAGAGGAGUGCGGAAAUCAUGUACGACCGGGCUAAACGCUUGUGCGUGACUGAAGAUCCGGUCAAACACUUGUGCCAAUACGUGCGUUUAUCAUGGUAGGUAAGCGUUGCCUGAGCAGCAAUUGAAAGAUAAACAGAAACACUUCCAUUGCAAAGUUAAACCUGGAUUUACGGAACAGAUUGCAACAUUUUCAUCAGCGAAUGAGAGAGCGCGGAGUACGGAUACAGAGGAUUUUACGGUGUGACGGGUAUUCCGGUUGAUUAUAGAUACACCUUGAACCACUCGGAAUUUUCUACAUUUAUGAACAGAUGACGCGGGUACAGCGACAUGAUUUAUUUACCUAUACAAUCUCUUAAGUAGUAAAUAUGUCUAGCAAUUCAGACCUGUGGUACCACAGACAAACCUGAGGUUUUGUGCUUGUGUUAAUACACAUACCUAGUUUCUUAAGCUUGAGAGUAAGAUUAUUAUUAUUGGCUCAUAGCAUAAAAUGUUAAUUUCAUAUUACAAUUAGUCUUCACCAUAUAUUUGAAUAUGCACAGGGAAUACUUCUUGAAGUGUUCGCUUCAAGAAAUAUGCCCUGUGUGUAAUAUACAUUGGUGACAAUAAGCACUCAAUAAAACAGCAUAGAUAUCUGUGAUACUGUACAAGAUUCUUUGUUUUACACUAAAAUUGCGACCAAAUAGUACGAAUGAAAAUAUCGAAAAUAUAUGUUGACUUACUCUCGUUUUAAUAUAGCAGGUAGUACAUUUAUGAAAUGAGUUAUAACAAUUUUACUUCAUGGAUUAUAUGGUUACAAUGUGUACAUCUUGCACUAUGCACUUGCACGUUCGUUUAAUGUGUGCAAUAUGUACCCCAGGCAAAUUUGCGUAUGUAACAUGAAACUAUAAUCCUUCACUCAACCGCUGAAGCUGGUUUAUAAACAAAGCAGUUGCUUGGUAUCCAGUGGUGAUGACUAAAUUUCGGAAACAUGGAAUGAUACCUCCGUUACGAGAUAACAAAACUUUUUUCGUAAUU
Molecule: long non-coding RNA, 1017 nt
Organism: Neodiprion fabricii
Lineage: Eukaryota; Metazoa; Arthropoda; Insecta; Hymenoptera; Diprionidae
Exons: 2
Source: RefSeq, a predicted model, not a curated record